RNAcentral lists this ribosomal RNA (253 nucleotides) under uncultured bacterium. RNAcentral describes it as "partial 16S ribosomal RNA". It matches the Rfam family "Bacterial small subunit ribosomal RNA", at positions 524 to 776 of the family's 1533-position model. The record is from RNAcentral.
GACGAACCGUGCGAACGUUGUUCGGAAUCACUGGGCUUAAAGGGCGCGUAGGCGGGUUGUCAAGUCGGGGGUGAAAUCGUUCGGCCCAACCGGACAAGGGCCCCCGAUACUGACAGUCUCGAGGGAGGUAGGGGUUGGUGGAACUUCCGGUGGAGCGGUGAAAUGCGUAGAUAUCGGAAGGAACGCCGGUGGCGAAAGCGGCCAACUGGACCUCUUCUGACGCUGAGGCGCGAAAGCUAGGGGAGCGAACGGG